This 354-nucleotide ribosomal RNA is filed under the name uncultured soil bacterium. RNAcentral describes it as "bacterial SSU rRNA". It matches the Rfam family "Bacterial small subunit ribosomal RNA", at positions 26 to 381 of the family's 1533-position model. The record is from RNAcentral.
AGAUUGAACGCUGGCGGCAGGCCUAACACAUGCAAGUCGAGCGGUAGAGAGGUGCUUGCAUCUCUUGAGAGCGGCGGACGGGUGAGUAAUGCCUAGGAAUCUGCCUAGUGGUGGGGGAUAACGUUCGGAAACGGACGCUAAUACCGCAUACGUCCUACGGGAGAAAGCGGGGGACCUUCGGGCCUCGCGCCAUUAGAUGAGCCUAGGUCGGAUUAGCUAGUUGGUGAGGUAAUGGCUCACCAAGGCGACGAUCCGUAACUGGUCUGAGAGGAUGAUCAGUCACACUGGAACUGAGACACGGUCCAGACUCCUACGGGAGGCAGCAGUGGGGAAUUUUGGACAAUGGGACGAAAG